CCUACGGGUGGCAGCAGUAGGGAAUAUUGCUCAAUGGGGGAAACCCUGAAGCAGCAACGCCGCGUGGAGGAUGAAGGUUUUCGGAUUGUAAACUCCUUUUGUUAGAGAAGAAAAUGACGGUAUCUAACGAAUAAGCACCGGCUAACUCAGUGCCAGCAGCCGCGGUAAUACGGAGGGUGCAAGCGUUACUCGGAAUCACUGGGCGUAAAGAGCGCGUAGGCGGGAUAGCAAGUCAGAUGUGAAAUCCUAUGGCUUAACCAUAGAACUGCAUUUGAAACUGUUAUUCUAGAGUAUGGGAGAGGUAGGUGGAAUGCUUGGUGUAGGGGUUAAAUCCGUAGAGAUCAAGAGGAAUACUCAUUGCGAAGGCGACCUGCUGGAACAUAACUGACGCUGAUGCGCGAAAGCGUGGGGAGCAAACAGGAUUAGAUACCCCUGUAGUC
This 440-nucleotide ribosomal RNA is filed under the name uncultured bacterium. Its description in RNAcentral is "partial 16S ribosomal RNA". It matches the Rfam family "Bacterial small subunit ribosomal RNA", at positions 338 to 795 of the family's 1533-position model. The record is from RNAcentral.